Misgurnus anguillicaudatus (oriental weatherfish) is the source of this 702-nucleotide non-coding RNA. The record is from RefSeq and is a predicted model, not a curated record. NCBI's taxonomy places the organism in Eukaryota, Metazoa, Chordata, Actinopteri, Cypriniformes, Cobitidae.
CAUGAUGACUAACCAGCUCUCUCCUAAAUCUUGUACAGAAAUCAGCAAUCUGUUAAGAGGUUGCCUGGCCGAGAAUCCAAGUGAUCGUCCGACGCUCAAGAAGAUCUUAGAUCAUGACUGGUUUAAAACUAAGUCUGACGAAGAAGAGCUACUCGUAUACAAAAUGAGGGCACUAUCCACACAAAAAUAAAAAGGAUGAAGCUGAAUGACUGAAGGAGAGGGGAAUGAUUGGAGAUGCUGUUUUCAUCAUUCUGAGACAAAUGGAGUUUGCUAAUCAUGUUUAUGGAUAAAUAAGUUUCUACAACCAGAAAGCGAGAAUAGCACCGACAUUAAAAGGGCCACAAUUUCUCAGGAGUUUCUGCAUUAUGUUUUAUUUCAGCCUCAGACUUCAUGAUCACAGACCGCUGGCUGAACGUCUGAUGCAGAUCCUGUCUCAUCCUUGAACACAUUAAAAAAAAUGUUUAAAUUCUUAAUGUUUUUAUUUUAAUGUGUAGUUUCUAAUAUAUAGUUUAUCCUCUAUAGAAUCAGCUAUGUCUGGCUCUCUCUCUCUAGGGUUGUUUUUCUCCUAGGAGUUUAGGGAGUCAGGUUUAUUAAUGUAAAGCUGCUUUGAAAUAAUUAAACAAUUGUGAAAAGUGCUACAGUAUAUAAAUAAAAUUGAACUGAUAUGGAAGACUUUUCUUAUCUUUUUUAUUUGAUCAAACU